This 220-nucleotide unclassified non-coding RNA is filed under the name uncultured Alphaproteobacteria bacterium. Its description in RNAcentral is "contains 16S-23S intergenic spacer region". Lineage: Bacteria; Pseudomonadati; Pseudomonadota; Alphaproteobacteria. The record is from RNAcentral.
UCCGGCUUAUCACCGGCAGUCCCACUAGAGUGCCCAACUGAAUGAUGGCAACUAAUGGCGAGGGUUGCGCUCGUUGCGGGACUUAACCCAACAUCUCACGACACGAGCUGACGACAGCCAUGCAGCACCUGUGUCCCGACCUAUUGCUAGGAAGAAUCCAUCUCUGGAAACCGUCCGGGCAUGUCAAGGGCUGGUAAGGUGGGGAUGACGUUAGUGACCU